CCUACGGGAGGCAGCAGUGGGGAAUAUUGCACAAUGGGGGAAACCCUGAUGCAGCGACGCCGCGUGAGUGAAGAAGUAAUUCGUUAUGUAAAGCUCUAUUAGCAGGGAAGAAAAUGACGGUACGUGAGUAAGAAGCCCCGGCCAACUACGUGCCAGCAGCCGCGGCAAUAUGCAGGGGGCAAGCGUUAUACGGAUUUACUGGGUGUAAAGGGAGCGUAGACGGCAGUGCAAGUCUGGAGUGAAAGGCGGGGGCUCAACCCCCGGACUGCUCUGGAAACUGUACGGCUGGAGUGCAGGAGAGGUAAGUGGAAUUCCUGGUGUAGCGGUGAAAUGCGUAGAUAUUAGGAAGAACACCAGUGGCGAAGGCGGCUUACUGGACUGUAACUGACGUUGAGGCUCGAAAGCGUGGGGAGCAAACAGGAUUAGAUACCCUGGUAGUC
Molecule: ribosomal RNA, 440 nt
Filed under: uncultured bacterium
Lineage: Bacteria
Description: partial 16S ribosomal RNA
Rfam family: Bacterial small subunit ribosomal RNA
Source: RNAcentral